Molecule: small nuclear RNA, 83 nt
Filed under: Panthera tigris altaica (Amur tiger)
Lineage: Eukaryota; Metazoa; Chordata; Mammalia; Carnivora; Felidae
Description: U4 spliceosomal RNA (ENSPTIG00000002399.1)
Rfam family: U4 spliceosomal RNA
About the family: U4 small nuclear RNA (U4 snRNA) is a component of the major U2-dependent spliceosome. The structure of U4 snRNA from yeast and human has been reported.
Source: RNAcentral
AGCUUUGCACAGUGGCAGUAUCGUAGCCAGUGAGGUUUAUCUGAGGCACCGAUUAUUGCUAUUGUUUAAUUAUAAUUGAUGCA